This 642-nucleotide ribosomal RNA is filed under the name tetraphyllidean plerocercoid. Its description in RNAcentral is "partial 28S large subunit ribosomal RNA". Lineage: Eukaryota; Metazoa; Platyhelminthes; Cestoda; Tetraphyllidea. The record is from RNAcentral.
ACAGUACGUGAAACCGCAUGCAGGUAAACGGGUGGCGUCAAGCUGCAGGCUUGGAGGAUUCAGCUGGCUAGGAUGUCGUGAUGCGCCUGACGCGUCCAUCGGUCGGAAUAAGAUGUUGCAGUCCACUGGUAAACGGUGGGCCUGGUCGCAAGGCUGGGUUGUGUGUACCGAGCGGAAGCCGGAGCACGCUGUACGUCUGUUGGAUCGCCUAGUCAGUGCACUUUCUCUGUGGCCAACACCACGACCGGUGGUAUUGCCAGUCUGCUGUAGCCAAGUCGUGUCUAGUCGGUUCUUGUAAUCAACUGGGUGCGAUCACAGGCAAACUCAGUAAACGGCGUAGAGGUGUUUCGGCACUUUUGCGUGAUAUCGGCUACUGGUUGUCAACGGGCCUGCCUGAUGAUUGUUGUAACCGUCAUUGGGUGGUCCGGUGGGCUAUGGUGGUAAGAAUAACUGUGCAAGGCACCGGAUGUUUCGAUCUCAAAUGCAGCCUGCAUCCACGUUGCAAGUGGUGUGGGGUGCCGUUGCAGCCUGCCUAUGUAAGGUCUGAUUGUCGUGUCGCCUGCGCAAAGUAGGCCCGGCGAUGGCCUCGCGUAGGAUGGGUUGUGGAUGGUGCCUCCUGUGUGGGUUGUUGUGGGUCAAAUA